Molecule: ribosomal RNA, 136 nt
Filed under: uncultured bacterium
Lineage: Bacteria
Description: partial 16S ribosomal RNA
Rfam family: Bacterial small subunit ribosomal RNA
Source: RNAcentral
UGGGGAAUAUUGGACAAUGGGCGCAAGCCUGAUCCAGCCAUGCCGCGUGAGUGAUGAAGGCCUUAGGGUUGUAAAGCUCUUUUGUCCGGGAAGAUAAUGACUGUACCGGAAGAAUAAGCCCCGGCUAACUUCGUGC